AUGAACUGGUCUGUUUUUUUAAAUGAUGUGGAACAGGGGAAGCCCUUGCAGGAGAACACACGAUCCUGUAGGUGUGAGUGUCCGGCAAUGAUUAGGCUUUUGUGGGCAUCCGAUCAGGUAGAAAAAGAUGCAUUGUACAAAGGGACACAUACUAGGCCUGAUAAAUGGGAGAAAUGGAGAAGAGUUGUUUUCCUGGUGAGAAUGCAUGACAAUGGUGAACACUUUGAGUGCGAGUGUGGGCUGUCUGUACACAUGCCCAUGUACUCAAGGUUGUUGACUAUACUUUGCAUUUCAGAUCAGAUCACAAAGCCGAUGUUUGUAAAAACCCCAAUUUGUUGA
RNAcentral lists this ribosomal RNA (339 nucleotides) under Triticum aestivum (bread wheat). Its description in RNAcentral is "partial small subunit ribosomal RNA". Lineage: Eukaryota; Viridiplantae; Streptophyta; Magnoliopsida; Poales; Poaceae. The record is from RNAcentral.